UACGUAGGGUGCAAGCGUUGUCCGGAAUUAUUGGGCGUAAAGAGCUCGUAGGCGGUCUGUCGCGUCUGCUGUGAAAACUCGGGGCUUAACCCCGGGCCUGCAGUGGGUACGGGCAGACUAGAGUGCGGUAGGGGAGACUGGAAUUCCUGGUGUAGCGGUGAAAUGCGUAGAUAUCCGGAGGAACACCAAUGGCGAAGGCAGUGUCCUGGGAAGUACCUGACGCUCAGGUGCGAAAGCUAGGGGAGCGAACAGG
RNAcentral lists this ribosomal RNA (253 nucleotides) under uncultured bacterium. RNAcentral describes it as "partial 16S ribosomal RNA". It matches the Rfam family "Bacterial small subunit ribosomal RNA", at positions 524 to 776 of the family's 1533-position model. The record is from RNAcentral.